GCCUAACACAUGCAAGUCGAGGGGUAGCAGGAUUAAGCUUGCUUAAUUGCUGACGACCGGCGCACGGGUGCGUAACGCGUAUGCAACCUACCUUAUACUGGGGUAUAGCCCGGAGAAAUUCGGAUUAAUCCCCCAUAGUACUAAUGAAUCGCAUGGUUUAUUAGUUAAAGCAUAGCGGUAUAAGAUGGGCAUGCGUCCUAUUAGCUAGUUGGUGAGGUAACGGCUCACCAAGGCAAUGAUUGGUAGGGGAACUGAGAGGUCAAUCCCCCACACUGGCACUGAGAUACGGGCCAGACUCCUACGGGAGGCAGCAGUAGGGAAUAUUGGGCAAUGGACGCAAGUCUGACCCAGCCUUGCCGCGUGCAGGAUGAAGGCGUUAUGCGUUGUAAACUGCUUUUAUACAGGAAGAAACGACUCUUGCGAGAGGCAUUGACGGUACUGUAUGAAUAAGCACCGGCUAACUCCGUGCCAGCCGCCGCUGUAA
This 484-nucleotide ribosomal RNA is filed under the name uncultured bacterium. Its description in RNAcentral is "partial 16S ribosomal RNA". It matches the Rfam family "Bacterial small subunit ribosomal RNA", at positions 46 to 523 of the family's 1533-position model. The record is from RNAcentral.